CCUGUCUUUGGACACAAAAUGAUGGUGACAGCUUUCCUAGAUAGAUUUCUGGCAAACCCAAAAACUGAUGUUAAUAUAGAAGCCUUGUCCAAAAGGAAAAAAAAAAGGGGGGGGCAGUGGGAGAGAAAAUACAUAUACUCUAACUACUACUGGGCAGAUUUAAACGCAGCCCAACAAUAUUUAUUGAUUUUAAUUUUAAUUUUAAUCUUCUCCCCAUCAAUUUGACUUCACCUGAUGAAUAAACCUCAGCUGGGCAUUUCCGAGCCUUCACUAUUCAAAUAAGUAAGGAAAUAAGGAGAUAAAUAAUAAAAUAAAAUAAAAAUAAAAUAAUAAAAUAAAUAAAAAUAAAAUAAUUCAACAGGAAACUUUCCCUAGGCAAAUAAUUUGCUUCUUUCCCUCUCCGUGGCUGAAUUUCAGGGUUGACUCGACGGCAGCAGAGAGAACAUUUUUUAACUUUAGCUGAAUCACACACUGGAAAUGAAACGAAGACUGCCGUUCUCACGCCUUCACAAUCAACAGGGCUGAACUUUGGGAAAAACAGGGCGGAAAAGUUAAAUGGCAAUGCAAACCGCAGCACCUUGGUACAAAUCUACCCUCCUUUCUGCCCGGUCGGCCGGCUGUUAAAGGCCAAGGCGAGGGGCGGCCGCGAGGGCUCGCCAGCGUCACCGGUGACUUAGUCAAAGGCGCGAGAUUCGCCGGCGCCCCAAUGCCUCUAACUCGGCUGCUGGCGCCGGGCGAAAUGGCCGCGAUUUUAAGGUGCAAGUUUCUUCCGUGCAGGAGCGCUCCAGUAGCCUCUCCCUUUCCCCGCGCCCUUCACACGAGGGCGGCCUACAGUGCCGGGCCGGAAACUUUUAAUCGUUGCUCUUUCAUACCUGUCUGGAGACGGACAGGUGGAUCCUCGGAGCUUUUCUGAGGUAGAAGUCUAAGUAACCAGGAAGUAACUGCCGUCUGGUCUUAGACGAGGGAGCCUGUUGCCCGCCGCCUACCAUUAUCAUCGCCCUGAUUGCUGUAGGGAGCGAAUUUCAGACCUUGUCCUCGGUAGGAAGCACUUUUUCCUCGCUAACAAAACAAGACGUUCGGGGAGCCGGGGGAUCCAUCGCCUCCUCUCUCGUGUUUCACUUUCCUCUAUGGGUUUAUGACUGCUCAUCUGACAGAGAACAUGGAGCUCACGCCGUUCUUCAAACUCCCAUCUUCCCAACUCAUUAGAAGUUUAGGAUCUGUUGCUCCCAUCGUACUCAUGAUCCUUCUGCUGCUUCUCUGUUUUCCUUUUAAAAAGAAAAAGCAUUGCUUGUCAAUCAGAACCAGGAAGAAGGACUUAAAUAUGUCUGAACUAAUCGAUCUGACAAAACUGGAAGAUGGGUUGCCUCCAGAAAGAAAGUCUCUUGCAGAUCAAUGUUUACCCAAAGGUAACACUUUGCCUAGUCACCAAGCAAAGCAGCAAUCAAAUGGAUUUUCUUCAGAGCUUCAGCAAGGAAAUGCAGACUCUCCAAAAUACACACAGGUAGUUAACUCAAGCCAACAAAGGAUGGAGAAACUGAACAUGAAUCAUCAAAGAGACUUGAGUCCACCAGCACCAGGUUCCAACAAACCAUCCCCAAGCCCGCUGCAGUUCAGAAAACUCCCAGUGACUCCUAAAGAGGCCUGCCUGUCUAGAAUGUUACCAUUGACUCAGAAUCCAGACAACCUAGUUUAUGAAAGCAUUGGUACUAAAGAACAGGAAUUAUAUAGCAAGGAUUGGUUGGAAGGAAGGACAGGCUGUCAGAUGGCAGCUAAUAAUAAUUCGAUCUGUGCCAUGACACUUAGAUUUGGAGCAGGGCUUGUGGAGCUUGGUGGGAAAGAUUCUGAAGCUGCAGGAUCCAACAACAUGCACGCGCAAUUGUCUCCAGCUGAAACAUGCCAAGAGUCAUAUGGCCAGUUGCAGGACAUGGCAUCUGAGAAAGAGGCCCCUCAGGCUCAGCUUGAGUCUGACUCAAGGAGACUAAGUGCCAUGUAUGCUCGAGUGUGCAAGCGUACCAAGGCAGCUCAGCCAGCGCAACCUGAAAAUCAUGAUGAGCCUAAGAAACAAGAAGAGGAAGAACCCCCACCCAUUCCAGAAAAAUGUUUUGAGCACAUCUAUGAAAGCCUGAACAUUGAUGCAAACACUUUUCCCCCUUCUGACAUCAAUUCUGACUUUCCUGGGCCUUUUUUCAUUGACUGGCCAACUUGGAAGCGUUCCUCUGGCAACGGCAGGGCCGAGAUGGUGGCCACCAAAAAGAUAAAGAGGCCUUUAGAAUCGAUAAAUUCAAGACUCCAGCUGGUUACGAAAUAAGACACUGGAAAGUCAAGGAGGCAAGACAGGUCUGACUUCUAGAGAAAUUUCCUGUUACCUUUUUUUCUGGCUUGCCAGUUUUUGAUCAGUACAUAUCAAAAACUGAACUUCAUAUGCACAUCAGUCACCACUGGCAAUCUUUCUGCAGCUUGAUCUUCUAAGAAAAGGCUAAAAACCUCUAGCCAUAUGUCUCUGAGCUACAAAGAAAGAAGUUAAUCAUCAGAAAGGCAUUUCAUGAAGCAAUUGUCCACCAUCUCUAUACCAUUAACCAGCAUGUAAUUUGUAUUUCUCUGGAAAUGGUGGGGAACAAGUUUGUCUUAACAGCUUGCUACAGCUCUUGGAUGCAAAUUUGUGCAACCCUACUUGUUGCUAACAUACAAUUUCAUAUUAUGGGCAAGAAUUAAAAAAAAGAAAAGAUUCCUAUUUACAAGUUUGUUAAGCCAUGUUGGAUAUUAUCCUAAUUUGUACACAGAGGGGAGGGUCUAUUCACUUUAACUUGAUUCUCAUCAAAAUUUCAAACUCGCAAAUGAAGGCAAAGGCUAUUUUCCUUUGGUGUAUGUUCUGUAAAUAUAAUUAAAUAAUUAUGAAGAAAUAAUUAUUUAAAUAUCUUGUUUGAUUGAAUCUAUUGUAAGACUGAGAGCCAGAUUGGUGUGGUGGGUUAAAGGCAUCUGGAAGAUCGGGGAGACCAUGAGUUCUACUUCUGCCUUAGGCACAAAGCCAGCUGGAUGGCCUUGAGCAAGUCACUGUCUUUCAGCCCUAUGAAGGAGGUAGUGGCAAAACACUUCUGAAAAACCUUGCCAAGAAAACUGCAGGGACUUAUCUGAGAAUCAGACACAAUUAAAUGGAAGAAAAAACAACUGUAGGACUAGGACAAGAGACCAUUUAUGCAUGGCUGGGAGCAAAACAGAAAAUUAUCCAUAUAGUGCUAUACUGAAACAACCUUGAUCCUGGUUUUGAUUCUUAAUUGUUGGCAAGUAUGCAUAUGCAUAAUAUUUAUGAAUUUCUUAUAUUACCAGGAUUUUUUUUUAAAAAAAAAAAUUUGGAAACUCUGAAAAAAUAACAAUUUAAAUGAAAACAUUAAAUGGAAUCAUAACAAAUUCCUGUCUUCAUGUUUUCCUUUUGGUUUUGGAUAGGCACACUACUGCCAAAGCAAAGUUUACCAGAAUCCUAGAAUACUUAAUUGCUUUUUUCAUGGGCCAACAAUUUUUCCCCAUUAAGAAAAAAAAAAAAACCCAAAAUACCAAAACCAAACAAAACAAAUACACAACUAAAUUUCCUUUUGAGUGAAAAAUGCACCAGGAACUUCAGACAGCAUAUAUUUCAGUUAUUGCUAUGGCCAUUGAUUAGGUAAGAGAAUUUAAAAACAGGAACAGGACUUUUUUACAAAAUGAAUAGAUAAAAUAGGAGCUACCCCUUUUGACUUAUUCCCGUUCCUAGAAAGACUGCAUAAGAUAUUUAUGUCAAAAUUAAAAUUGGAAAUGUGAUCUGUGGGAUGGACCAACUGCCCUUCAUUAUGCUUUUACUGGAUAUCCUGCAUUUUUCUUUUACAGGAUUCAUUUCUCCCUUUGCAAGUCACUAUUGUCUCACAUCAUGAGACAAUAGUGAAUGGUUCAUCCAUUCAAAAUCUAGAUGGUAGUUACAAAAAACCAAAAUUACAAAAUCAAAAGAGGCAGUUUUAGAUCACUUUCACCACCCUAUUGUUUUACAAGGAUUAAAUCGGCUUCUCAUACCAAUGAUGUUUCAUGUUUGUUAAAGUAUGUCUUAUCUCUUAUUCAUAGGAAGCGCAAUGGCUCAGCUGGAAAGCUGACAGGUUUGUGACCUGAGAACCAUGCAAUGGGGUGAGCUCCUGUUCCUGCCCCAGCUUCUCCCCACCUAGCAGUUUGAAAGCAUGCAAAUGCAUGUAGAUUAAUAGGUACCACUUUGGUGGGAAGGUAACAGUGUUCCCUGCAUCUUUGGCUUACAGCUAAGCUGGCCACAUGACCACAGAAAAUGUCUUUGGACAACACUGGCUCCCUUCGCCAAGAAACAGAGAUGAGCACCAUGCCCUAGAGUCAGACACAACUGAACAGGAAAACCUCUACUUUUACCUUAUCUCUUAUUCAGUAACUCAAAGGGAUACACUUCAAACUAGAGAUGGUUGCCUUUUCAGCCAGUGAGGCUAUUUGGAAUGUGUGGAUACUCUGUCAAAAUGGUUGCUUGUCCUAAAAAGCAUGACCAAUCAGAAACUCCUAUUUUUUGUAUUGAUUUUAAAAAAUAACUGGGGGGAAAAAAGCUCAAAGAUCAUUAUAAUACAAAUACAUACAAAAACUAUACAUAAAAAGUGUUUAAUGAAGUAAAAACACUAUACAAAAGAGAAACAAAGUAUAUUAUUACAGCAAUUAACAGUUAUAAUUUUCUAUAUACUUAGCUAAUGUAAAUGUUAUUCAAAUGCACAUAUAUAUUUCAAUAUAUUUUAAUAACUAUUACUUUUUAACUCAUUAAUAUGUUGUUUAAUUGAAUUUCAUAUUUCAUUAUACUUGUAUGUACAAAAUCUGUGUUUAUAGGCAAUCUGUUUAUAGGUGGCAAAUGUAAUCAGGUCUUCAAUCCAUUGAGUGAAAAGAAAUAUAAAUACAUUUAUAUUUCUAUGUCCCAAAGUGCGUUUUCAAGAGGCAACUGAACUUUCUUGUUUUUCUUUGAAGAUGUUUCACUCAUCCAAGAAGCUGACUGGAUGGUGGGG
Molecule: RNA transcript, 5024 nt
Organism: Crotalus tigris (Tiger rattlesnake)
Lineage: Eukaryota; Metazoa; Chordata; Lepidosauria; Squamata; Viperidae
Exons: 8
Source: RefSeq, a predicted model, not a curated record